AUGGAGGGUCCUUACUUUCCCGCUGGCCGGCCUAGAAGGGGUUUCUUUAAUGGUGCAACGAAUUACCAUCGCUUCAAAGUUGAUAUGUAUGUGAGUGUCAUUGAUAGGCAAAUUAGUGAGUUGAAUGGCAGAUUUGAUGAGGUAAACAUAGAUCUACUUUCUUGCAUGGCAGCAUUUUGUCCACUUCGUCUAUUUGCUGCUUAUGAUCAAGAGAAAUUGGUUAGGCUUGCUACAAAGUUUUAUGCUAAUGAUUUCACAAGUGAUGAACUGGCAAGACUUCCAUGGCAACUAAACAUGUAUGUUACUCAUGUGCGUAGAGAUGAAAGGUUUCAAAACUUGAAGAAUCUGUGUGAGCUUUCCGUUAUGCUUGUCGAGACAAACAAGCAUGAACAAUACUAUAUUGUUUACAAGCUUCUUAAGUUGGUAUUAAUUUUGCCAGUAGCUACUGCUAGUGUUGAAAGGGUGUUCUCUUCAAUGAACUAUGUGAAGAAUAAGCUAAGGAGCAAAAUGGGUGAUGAUUACUUGAACAAUUGUUUGGUUACAUUUGUUGAGAGAGAAUUCUUCAAUCAAGUAAAGGAUGAGGAUGUCAUCAAUCUCUUCCAAAAAGGCGAUCGCAAAGUUAUAUUGUAA
Molecule: ribosomal RNA, 630 nt
Filed under: Triticum aestivum (bread wheat)
Lineage: Eukaryota; Viridiplantae; Streptophyta; Magnoliopsida; Poales; Poaceae
Description: partial small subunit ribosomal RNA
Source: RNAcentral